UACGUAGGUGGCAAGCGUUGUCCGGAUUUACUGGGCGUAAAGGAUGCGUAGGUGGAUAUUUAAGUCAGAUGUGAAAUACCCGAGCUUAACUUGGGUGCUGCAUUUGAAACUGGAUAUCUAGAGUGCAGGAGAGGUAAGUGGAAUUCCUGGUGUAGCGGUGAAAUGCGUAGAGAUUAGGAAGAACACCAGUGGCGAAGGCGACUUACUGGACUGUAACUGACACUGAGGCAUGAAAGCGUGGGGAGCAAACAGGAUUAGAUACCCUGGUAGUCCACGCCGUAAACGAUGAGUACUAGGUGUAGGAGGUAUCGACUCCUUCUGUGCCGCAGUUAACACAAUAAGUACUCCGCCUGGGAAGUACGGUCGCAAGAUUAAAACUCAAAGGAAUUGACGGGGGCCCGCACAAGCAGCGGAGCAUGUGGUUUAAUUCGAAGCAACGCGAAGAACCUUACCUAGACUUGACAUCUCCUGAAUAGCCGGUAACUCGGCGAAGCCCUUCGGGGCAGGAAGACAGGUGGUGCAUGGUUGUCGUCAGCUCGUGUCGUGAGAUGUUGGGUUAAGUCCCGCAACGAGCACAACCCUUAUUAUUAGUUGCUACCAUUUAGUUGAGCACUCUAAUGAGACUGCCGUGGUUAACGCGGAGGAAGGUGGGGAUGGCGUCAAAUCAUCAUGCCCCUUAUGUCUAGGGCUACACACGUGCUACAAUGGUGAGUACAAAGAGACGCAAGACCGUGAGGUGGAGCAAAACUCAAAAACUCAUCCCAGUUCGGAUUGUAGGCUGAAACUCGCCUACAUGAAGCCGGAGUUGCUAGUAAUCGCGAAUCAGCAUGUCGCGGUGAAUACGUUCCCGGGCCU
This 855-nucleotide ribosomal RNA is filed under the name uncultured bacterium. Its description in RNAcentral is "bacterial SSU rRNA". It matches the Rfam family "Bacterial small subunit ribosomal RNA", at positions 524 to 1381 of the family's 1533-position model. The record is from RNAcentral.